UGAUCUUGAGCUAACCUAGCACAUACUACGCAUAUAGUGGAUACAUCUAUGCAAACAAGUAGUACUGCUAGAGUAAAUACGAACAAGAGGAUAAACGAGUCAUACCCUCCAAUCGGCCAGUUGGACGUAGCAGCAGCAGCGGCAGUAUCCUCUGCCGUCUUCUUCUCGGCUUCCUCGCGGAGACGAUCAGCUUCGCUUGGUGAAGACAUGGCGAUGACGAGGGCGACGCGGACGUAGACGAAGCAGACGGACGGAGGCGAGCAGUCGCGUGAUCGCUCCCCAAAAACCUAAUCG
Molecule: long non-coding RNA, 294 nt
Filed under: Hordeum vulgare
Lineage: Eukaryota; Viridiplantae; Streptophyta; Magnoliopsida; Poales; Poaceae
Description: long non-coding RNA (HVUL_LNC005606)
Source: RNAcentral